This 441-nucleotide ribosomal RNA is filed under the name uncultured bacterium. RNAcentral describes it as "bacterial SSU rRNA". It matches the Rfam family "Bacterial small subunit ribosomal RNA", at positions 338 to 795 of the family's 1533-position model. The record is from RNAcentral.
CCUACGGGGGGCUGCAGUGGGGAAUCUUGGUCAAUGGGCGAAAGCCUGAACCAGCGAUUCUGCGUGAAGGAUGAAGCCUCGCGGGGUGUAAACUUCUUUUUUGGGGGAAGACGAAUGACGGUACCCCACGAAUAAGGGACGGCUAACUACGUGCCAGCAGCCGCGGUAAUACGUAGGUCCCAAGCAUUAUCCGGAUUUACUGGGCGUAAAGAGUCUGUAGCUGGUUAUAUAAGUCUAUUUUCAAAUCCCUUGGCUCAACUAAGGAAAGGGAAUGGAUACUAUAUAUCUGGAGGUUAUUAGGGGUUAGUAGAAUUCCCGGUGGAGGGGUGAAAUCCGUUGAUAUUGGGAGGAAUGCCGAAAGCGAAAGCAGCUAACUAUAAUUAUCCUGACAGUGAGAGACGAAAGCAUGGGUAGCAAACGGGAUUAGAUACCCCGGUAGUC